GUCAACAGAACCCGUCAUUGAAAUAACGGGCUUGUAGUGAAAACUACUAGCUCCGUUGUUUUAAUGACGACCGGUUGAUUAGCUUAAGUAUUAAGUUACUACGUUACCGCUGAAAUUAGGUACUUUGGAACGCCACCCUAAUUCCAAACACUACGCUUAUGCUUCUAAACAGAGCUGCGGUUCACGGCUCAGUGGGUAUAAGAAUUAAAACCAGCGGAUAACAUUGGCGCAGGGUACACAC
Molecule: non-coding RNA, 241 nt
Rfam family: HNH endonuclease-associated RNA and ORF (HEARO) RNA
Source: Rfam